This 69-nucleotide non-coding RNA is filed under the name Brassica napus (rape). Its description in RNAcentral is "Eukaryotic small subunit ribosomal RNA". It matches the Rfam family "Eukaryotic small subunit ribosomal RNA", at positions 1763 to 1831 of the family's 1831-position model. Lineage: Eukaryota; Viridiplantae; Streptophyta; Magnoliopsida; Brassicales; Brassicaceae. The record is from Rfam by way of RNAcentral.
ACCUUUUCAUUUAGAAGAAGAAGAAGUCGUAACAAGGUUUCCGUAGGUGAACCUGCAGAAGGAUCAUUG